UACGAAGGUGGCAAGCGUUACUCGGAAUUACUAGGCGUAAAGGGCAGGUAGGCGGUUUGGUAAGUCUGUUGUGAAAGCUCCUUGCUUAACGGGGAGAGGUCAACAGAUACUGCCAGGCUUGAGUAUGGGAGAGGUUACUGGAAUUCCCGGUGUAGCGGUGAAAUGCGCAGAGAUCGGGAGGAACACCAAUGGCGAAAGCAGGUAACUGGACCAUUACUGACGCUCAGCUGCGAAAGCUAGGGGAGCAAACAGG
Molecule: ribosomal RNA, 253 nt
Filed under: uncultured bacterium
Lineage: Bacteria
Description: partial 16S ribosomal RNA
Rfam family: Bacterial small subunit ribosomal RNA
Source: RNAcentral